This 253-nucleotide ribosomal RNA is filed under the name uncultured bacterium. Its description in RNAcentral is "partial 16S ribosomal RNA". It matches the Rfam family "Bacterial small subunit ribosomal RNA", at positions 524 to 776 of the family's 1533-position model. The record is from RNAcentral.
CACGUAGGGCGCAAGCGUUGUCCGGAAUUAUUGGGCGUAAAGAGCUCGUAGGUGGUUUGUUACGUCUGCUGUGAAAACCUAGGGCUUAAUCCUGGGCUUGCAGUGGAUACGGGCAGACUAGAGGUAGGUAGGGGAGAAUGGAAUUCCUGGUGUAGCGGUGAAAUGCGCAGAUAUCGGGAGGAACACCAGUAGCGAAGGCGGCUCGCUGGGCCAUUCCUGACGCUGAGACGCGAAAGCUAGGGGAGCAAACGGG